Molecule: long non-coding RNA, 388 nt
Filed under: Homo sapiens (human)
Lineage: Eukaryota; Metazoa; Chordata; Mammalia; Primates; Hominidae
Description: HSALNT0396850
Source: RNAcentral
AGAAGAAUCACACUUGUUUGGUACUGAGCCACAUGAUAUGUCGCAACUCCCCCUGUGAGCAGGGACCAGGCAGGAGAAGAAAGUCACAUCAUGUGGGUGAGAUGGAGUCUCACAAUGUCGCCUGGGCUGGAGUGCAGUGGUGCGACCUUGGCUCACUGCAACUUCUGCUUCCCGAGUUCAAGCGAUUCUCCUGCCUCAGCCCCCGGAGUAGCUGAAAUUACAGGCGCCUGUGAGGGAUCAGUCAGAAUGGAACUGACCUUUGAUCAUCCACGGGAGUGACGAUCCCUGAAAGGAGAACAAUAAAUGUUAAUUACCUGCAGGUUGUGUUUGCUCCAGGUUUUUGGCAUUGUGCCUGCACUGAAAGAAAGCAAGCAGCUCCAGCUUCUUG